This 231-nucleotide ribosomal RNA is filed under the name Atlantibacter hermannii. RNAcentral's name for it is "partial 16S ribosomal RNA". It matches the Rfam family "Bacterial small subunit ribosomal RNA", at positions 1111 to 1342 of the family's 1533-position model. Lineage: Bacteria; Pseudomonadati; Pseudomonadota; Gammaproteobacteria; Enterobacterales; Enterobacteriaceae. The record is from RNAcentral.
UUUGUUGCCAGCGGUCCGGCCGGGAACUCAAAGGAGACUGCCAGUGAUAAACUGGAGGAAGGUGGGGAUGACGUCAAGUCAUCAUGGCCCUUACGACCAGGGCUACACACGUGCUACAAUGGCGCAUACAAAGAGAAGCGAACUCGCGAGAGCAAGCGGACCUCAUAAAGUGCGUCGUAGUCCGGAUUGGAGUCUGCAACUCGACUCCAUGAAGUCGGAAUCGCUAGUAAU